AAACAUUAAAUGGACUUUUAACCUAGGAUGCUAAUCCGAAGUUUGAGAAUCAUGAUAAAAUUUUAGCAGCACUUUACUACCUUCAAAUCAAAUUUUGGAUAACCAUUCUCUUAAGAACCAGAAGGUGAAGACCAAAAACCAUGCAGCACUUCGUAUCAACAGUGCUUCGUCCCAUCAAUUGUCUUCAUGUCGGGUCUCUGGCUCCGGUUAAACCACCACGCCAGAAGCCGAUGGAACUAGCUUGUUGAGAUGUUGGUCUAAAGGGUUUGUAAGAAGGAAGGUUUGCCUCUAUCUAUAGUCAUUCUUUUUUCCAUAAUAUCAUUGAUUGUUUAAUAUAGUGCUGAAAACUAUAAGAGAAAAUAUUAGGAAAGAUUUAGAGGUUAAUGAGCUUGAUCCAAAUAUAGUUUAUGAUCCAACAUUAUGGCGUAAUUUGAUCCAUGUACCCGACCCCAUUGAGUGGGAUAAGGCUUUGUUGUUGUUGUUUGCAAGUUACAAGAUAGAGAUCCUUGUGUUAUUCGUAGAAGUGAGAAUUUUUUUGCAGCGUCCUUAUGUGUCAUAAUUUUUUAAGUUUAAUUUUUUGCUUUUUGAGUUUUUGGAUUGUAACAUUCAGGAAAACUUGUAAUCAUAGCAGGAAAAAAAAAUCAAGAAGAGAAUGUGAAGGAAGCAUGGCCAUGGACAUAAGUGAAGUUGCCUCUACAGCUACCAAAUGUACAUACAUAAGGGUGAAAAUAUCAGUGCAUCAAAAGUGAGUCCAUCUGUGAUAUGGGUUAUAUGGGAAAAUAAUUUCUUUGGAGUAAGUAUCAAUUUUUGCACAAAUAGAAAAUACAUCAUUGUACAGCCCGAUAUGUAUAUACAUAGUUUUUUUUUUUUUAAAAGAUAUACAUAGUUCUAAUCAUCAAUAGAUGCAGAAAAACUUAGUACCAAUGGGUCAACUACAAACUAAUUCUGAACAAAAUGUGGUAAACUAACAUCAAACAGUAUCAGUUUGCCUUCUGAAUUACCAUGUCCUGUAAGUGCAUAGGAUAGCACAUUUUAGCGUGCUCACCAUUCCAUAUAUUGGCUGCCAAAAUUCCAUUCACUGUAUCAGUUGGAUGGAACUGGUCCCACCAGAUAUAGUUGGAUGCGUUACUGCACGCCAUUUCAGGCGAUAAGCACAUCAACCAACCCUUGUACUUCCCGGAUCCACAGCAAGCCUCGGACGUGACGUUAAAGCCUAAUCAGGGAACACAAAGCAGAGUAAGAUAUGAUAAUGAAGCUACUACAGUUUCCUAAUAGAAUGAGAGCUGGAAAAAAAACACAAAUACAGAAAUACUAAUACCAUAUUGAUCAUGAUUCUUUAAAAUAUCCAUUGAACCUUCAUACACGUCACAGAAGAUGAUAUUGGCAUCAGGGAGCUCCUCAGCAAGCUUUUCAACAAUGUAUCUCAUGAGAAAGUUAAACUCAAUGGCCAUGUCAUUUAUCGGUUCAACACAUUCUCCAUUCUGAAUACCGUACUCCCACAUAUAGCGAGGGGCACAACCAAUAGGGGCAAGUCCCAUGACCACCAUUUUCCUAACAUUUAAGUUGUACAAGUUCUGUAUCAUCAAGGUUAAUAUAUCAGGAAUCAAUUUAACCCCUUCAGUUUCUGUAUGCAACCAAUGAAGUUUUUGGUUGAUAGAUUUAGACUCAUAAAAUUUCACAUGAUCAUAUUCACAUGAAAAAAAAUUAAGUUUAGGUGUAUUUUACCUUUAUUUCUCGCAUGAGUGAAGAUGCUAAAAACCGGUUAAAGUGCCAUGGAAGGAACAAAUUAUCAACAUUGGAUGCAUUGAGCAAAUAGUAAUGAAUGUAGUCAUUGAUUCCAAUAGAGAUAUAAACAAUGGAAUUGGAUAUGAGAGUCUUUGCAGCAUCCUCUCCCAUGCUUAUUAUAAGCUGCUGAAAUGUGUCAGUAAAUUGUUGAACCUGCU
This 1943-nucleotide long non-coding RNA is filed under the name Medicago truncatula (barrel medic). RNAcentral's name for it is "long non-coding RNA (MTRU_LNC002727)". The record is from RNAcentral. Lineage: Eukaryota; Viridiplantae; Streptophyta; Magnoliopsida; Fabales; Fabaceae.